Molecule: long non-coding RNA, 1078 nt
Filed under: Equus caballus (horse)
Lineage: Eukaryota; Metazoa; Chordata; Mammalia; Perissodactyla; Equidae
Description: lncRNA (ENSECAG00000044044.1)
Source: RNAcentral
GCUCCUGAAGCCUUGCAUGAGCUGGGACCAGGGAUACAAGGAUGACCAAUGCAGGCUCGCUCCUCCCGCAGGGGGCCUGCAGGCUGGUGGCCUCACCAGUCCAGACCCCAUGGACUCAGUCAACUACGGCCCCCAGGGACUGUCUGGUGGGCAGCAUGGCCUGGCCUUUCUGAACCUGGAGCUGAUCCUAAGCUCCUUGGACACCCGCGCUCAGUCCUGCCACCUCACCUUUUCUUCUUGGCUGCUCCACCUGGAGGAAAUGCCUUCUCUCUCUCCUCAGGGAUGGCUGCUUCUGGAGGCUCCAGGCAGGAGGGCCAAGCUAGUGCUGUCAGAGAAAGAUGACUUCCAACAGCAGAAAUUCAUCCUUCCUCACCCCAUCCAUAGAGUUGCAGCCAAAGUUCCAUGUUAAAGUGUGACCUACCCCCUGCUUACAGUGGACUGGUCUGGGGAGGGAUGCUGCAUUCGGGGAAGAGGGCAGACUCUCUCUAGAUGGCUGGGCUGUAGCAUGGACCCUUGGGAGCUGGUAGAGGUGACCACGUCCCACCACGAGAACUGGGAAACUGAGAAAGCUGGACUACAGCAAGACAGAACAGCAAAGAGAGAAGCAUGAAUAAGUGACACAGAGCAAAGACUCCCGGCUUGGAACAGCACCCCAGGCCAGCUCUGGUCCUGCUGCCUGGCUUUAUUUCUGAGGCUGGAUUCAGCCACACAUCCUGAGAUUCUCCCAACCAAGUCCGUUUUCACUCAGAGUAGAUGGAGUGGAAUUUCCAGAGCCGACAUCCAGAAUAGGCCCAACUACCGUGCAAACCAAGGUUGCAUUUGGAGGAGAGGAAGGACGAUGAUGUUGAAUGCACAUCUCCCCAGAUGAUGAAGGAAUUGCCUCCAAGCUCAGCAGGUGGGACGACCUACUCUGUGUUGUACACCUUAUCAGCUGACGCUUCCCGUGGAUGAUAACUCCGUUCAGGCACAGCAGUAACAUUUACUACUUAACAGGCUGCUUGUAGAGAUUUCCCUCCGCAAUGAGAAUCUUUCCUAUUACAGGAGAAAAAUGAAAGGGGAGUCAUUUAUUCCAUAUGAA